CUCAGAAUGGCUGUGUUGCACACAAUCCUUUUCUGAGGACCCAUUCCUGAAAGAAAGCAGGCCAUGCUGGUCUCAGUAUUUGCAUGGAAGGAUAUCUGCCAGUGAAUGAGUCUGUUGAAAUCACCACACCAAAUUCAACAUUAAGGGCCAACCCUGACCACAGCUGAGCCGUGUGAAGAGGCUGACAGCGGCGUGGCCACCACCCAGGAUGGAGAGAAAGGCACCGUGAGGUGUUAAUGGAAAAAUCCAACUUCCUUUUCUUCCAAAGAUGAUGACUGAAACCAAAGUGGAGCUUUCCCUGAAACUUUCUGAGAUGCAAGUGGGUGUUAAAUGGUUCAGCAAAGCCAAGCCAGAGCAGUUGGUGUGCUUUGAAAUGAAGCAACAUCGGAAAAAUGAAAUCUACCGAAAGAUCACUACGUGUUUCAAAGGCCUUCAGACUCAGACUGGAACUGCACCGUUGGCUCUCCUGGGUGGGUCUCCAGCUUGCUGACCACAGACCUUGAGACUUCUCAGCCUUUAGAAUCAUGGAAGCCAAUUCCUUAUAAUAAUAUAUAUCCGUUUCCUAGUCUGUGGACUUUUCCCAGCUCCAGACAGACAAUCUUCUAUAAACUCCAGGAUGCUCCAUCAAUGCCCUGUCUAGACUCUACAGAUUUUGACCCUGAAGUAAAGUAGGAAAGGCUAUGGAGACAUGUUAAAUGUUGUACUACCGCCUGAAGCCUUUUCUUCUUUAAAUUUUUCAACAAGAGUUGAAUGCACACGUGGAUCUUAAUUGGACAACAACUUUUCUCCUCUUCUGUGGGAUCCCGUCAGUGCUUUAAGCAAUGAGAAGGCAGCUCAUUUCCAAGUUUGUGUGGUAAAUUUGGGGCAAGUGGGAGAAAAGAAAGAAAGGCUAAGUCUUAUAGGGUGUGAUUUGGUUCUAGACAUGCUUAUGUUACUUUUUAUAAGAUUAUCCAUUUGACUAGAUUUCUUUCCUGCUGACAAAAGAGGCAAUUUCUACAUAUAAAAUAAAUCUGAUUAAAACUC
Molecule: long non-coding RNA, 1023 nt
Organism: Gorilla gorilla gorilla (western lowland gorilla)
Lineage: Eukaryota; Metazoa; Chordata; Mammalia; Primates; Hominidae
Exons: 4
Source: RefSeq, a predicted model, not a curated record